Molecule: non-coding RNA, 95 nt
Organism: Hydnum rufescens UP504
Lineage: Eukaryota; Fungi; Basidiomycota; Agaricomycetes; Cantharellales; Hydnaceae
Source: the annotation of a GenBank genome assembly
GGUUGGAUAGUGUAGUGGUUAUCACAGUUGGUUUUGAAAAGGUUCACCCAGGGCCCAGAUUCCAAUUAACUCCGGUUCGACUCCGGAUCCGACCU